GGCAACAUGUUGAGGGGUAGUGAGAGGCAAUUAGUGGCUAGUAUGUCACUUUACCGAGGAGAGGCACAGAGGAGGACUGGGAGUCGAGUCCAACUUACGAAUUGUGACAGCUGCUCACGGUGCACUUUUCGGGAAUAUUUGACGUGCUAUCUUUUCAGAAAUAUGUAUUUUAUCAAUAGGUUUAGACGCUGUUUCAUAGUUUCUGCGUGAAAUAGUUUGGAUUUAUUGGAGUUUGGGGUUAAACGGCAGCCUUUCUGUAACCCUUUGAUCAAGCGACCGCUGAGGACAUUUUUUAAUCAGAACCGUUUUUGUCAUAGAUAGGCCUUAUGUAGCCCUGAAAGCCGUAUUCAUUACCAGCUUGCUUCAUCAGGUUACACUUGACCAGUGGCAUACGUGACGAUGCGCUCGCCUCACCCUUACUGAAAGAAGAAGAAAGCGAGUGACAACGUUGCAAUUUCUCGGGAAAUCUAAAGUUGACUCGAGUUGGAGGAUCAUUAUCAUCAUAUCUCCCCUGAAUCUCUGGACUGGUGGAUUUCUGUUGCAUUGCUAAAUCACACACCUGGUCGUCUGACAGGCACCGCAAAAUGAAACUUUCGUUUGUCAUCCAGAUUGCGGUGGUGCUUCAACUUCAGUUUUCACCUGCACAGUGCUCUCACUUAACCAGCACAAACAGCACAAGUGAAGUGAUAAUGUUCCAAGAAGUGUGGGGGCGGAGCUUCUGUCGGACCAUUGAGAAGCUGGUGGAGGUGGUUCUGGAGUACCCCGGGGAGGUGGAGCAUAUCUUCAGCCCUUCCUGCGUCCCCCUCGUUCGCUGCGCUGGUUGCUGUGGCGAUGAGAACCUAGAGUGUCAUCCUACACAGUCUUCCAAUGUUACCAUGCAGCUGUUGAAAAUCAAGCCUGCCGAGCAGGGCCAAGAAUAUGUCGAGAUGACAUUUGUGGAGCACCAGACAUGUGAAUGUAGAAUCAGGAAAACAAUGGGAAAAAGUGAAAGGAAAAGACAACGAGGAAGAGGAAGGAAAAGGAAGGAGAGACAGAGAGUGAAGGACUGUGACAGGUGACCAGCAUCUUCAUGUGUUACAGUCAACUGAGCAGGAUUAUUAACACCCCUGCUGUCAGCCCCCUCGUAGGUAACUGAAGCAGCAGCAGCCCUGCCCUGUCAAACCCGGCCCCCUAUUUAUUAUCCGCCCAGUGCUAUCAGCUUCAAGAGCCUUCUGAGUACAUCCCCCGUGUGCCCUCACUGCACCCAGAGACUCGCUGCUGGGCGUCACGGUGACAGCUCCCGUGGUUACCGGGGUGCACCUCCUGACUAAAGCAGCUGCUAGGUAAAACCCACCGUGACACAUUUGACGCAAGUUAAAUUCCUCUUCUAGAGACCUGUGUAAUGGCGGACCAUAAGGACAAGACGUCAUGCGAUCCUUCUCAAGUACAAGUUCAAGUUGUUAUGUAUUUUGGGCUAUUUCUCUUUAUUACCGUAUUACAUGAUUAUUAUUAUUAUUAUUAUUGGCUAAUGUUGUUUUUCAUCACUGUGGUUGAUUAAGCGGGUUUCUCCCUUUUGUAAUGAAUAUUUAUUUAUGCUUUUUUUCUUUCAUCAAAUCAAAGUACAUAUUUCUAUCUUGUUUUUGACUAAACUCGGAACAGGUUUCCGUUGCUUCAUUACAACUUAAGGACCAAAAGAACUUCCUUGACCUCCAUUUCGACAGUAUCUCAUCUUACUCAAGAUCAGGGGGCGGUUCCGGGGAGGGGGGCAGGGGGGGGGGCAGUGCCCCUGUGACAACAACCUUGUACCCCCCUUGUGUCCCCCUAAAUGUAGAGUCUGAAUAAUGAUAAACAUGGUCUUGCCUGUUAAUGCCUGCAUUGCAGUGAAGAAAACUAUACCACAACAGCCAUGUUUAAUGUAACUGCCCCCCCUAACAGUGCAACUGACCCCACCUUGCCCCCCCCCCCCCCCCCCCCCAUGCGAAGGACAGUACUGAGGUCAGUACGAAACUAUAUUUCUCUUGUGGUUUAAUUUGGCAUUGGGACCAUCAAUGCAGUUUUGACCAGAGAGAACUGUAGUGGAAGGUAUAUUGUAUUUGUGGUGAAACAGUAAUGUCAAUUAAAUGUUUGUGUGACAAUGUUUUUAAAUAUCUGAAAGAAAAUAAACUAAUUUACAAUCAAUGCAAACCAUUGUGUUGAGAAAUGAUCUGAUAUCUGCAGUAUUUCUGAGACGUGUUUUGUUAAUUUCUAGAACAGCUAAACCAAAGAAUAAAAUAAUACUGCUACCCAUAGCUUUCUAAUGCAACUUUUCUUUCUGUUAAAUUGCAUCUCAAUGUCUUUAAGAAACACUACUUUUCAACUGGAUAACAAUCCAUAUCCAGAAGGGAGUCAGGUGGCUGAGCAGUUAAGGAAUUGGGCUAGUAAUCUGAAGGUUGCCAGUUCGAUUCCUGACCGUGCCAAAUUACGUUGUGUCCUUGGGCAAGGCACUUCACCCUACUUGCCUCGGGGGAAUGUCCCUGUACUUACUGUAAGUCUCUCUGGAUAAGAGCGUCUGCUAAAUGACAAAAUGUAAAUAUCCACUACUAAUUAGUUGAAAAUGGCUCACUCUGUCCUGCCACUUUGAUGGUUGUAGAGGUUUCUCCCAUCCCUACUUCUUACUCACAAGGACGUUGUUUAUGAUGCAUUUGUGAUUAGUGACCCAGUACCGUGGGUUAUGGGCCAACCAAUGCAGAGAUCAUGGACUGACUAGAAUUCUGUUGAGCCUGUAGGAGUUGCUGUUCCAGUGGUUGAGGAUUUGUGCUUAUCCCUUGUGUUAUCUUCGGGUCAUUCUGACCCAUCAGUCAUUGUGACCCACCGUCGUAUUGCGACAACUUUACCGCAUACAAAAACAAAGUGAAGCAUUUUCUUUUAACCGUCGGGUUGUCUCAGACCCCCCACAUUGCAAAGGUUAAAAGAAAAUUAUUUUUAUUUGUUUUUGUAUUGGGUAAAAUUGGGUAAACACAACGAUGGUUCGUUAUGAACCUUUGGGUCAUGUGACCCGAAGGCAGCACAAGGGUUAACUUGAAGGCCUAUUUAGGAUUAAUAUGUUCAGUAUCAUCAGUUUGACCGUGAACAAAAUUGCUCAGAGAAGGAAAAGCAUGGACUAACUCAAAACGAAUUACAGUGCUGUAUGUGAUGUUUUAAUCAAUUAUAAUACAGAAAUGUUAAAACUUGUGUGUUUAUUGUAUAUAGAUAAAAAUAACUGACAAAAAAUAAAGAGAUAUAUCAUUG
Osmerus eperlanus (European smelt) is the source of this 3246-nucleotide RNA transcript. It is a transcript of the gene named placental growth factor b, with no coding region annotated. The transcript has 7 exons. Lineage: Eukaryota; Metazoa; Chordata; Actinopteri; Osmeriformes; Osmeridae. The record is from RefSeq and is a predicted model, not a curated record.